AUACGGGGGGUGCAAGCGUUAAUCGGAAUUACUGGGCGUAAAGCGCGCGUAGGCGGCUUAUUAAGUCAGAUGUGAAAUCCCCGGGCUCAACCUGGGAACUGCAUCUGAUACUGGUAAGCUAGAGUUUUGGAGAGGGAAGUAGAAUUUCAGGUGUAGCGGUGUAAUGCAUAGAGAUCUGAAGGAAUACCAGUGGCGAAGGCGACUUCCUGGCCAAAAACUGACGCUGAGGUGCGAAAGCGUGGGUAACAAACGGGAUUAGAAACCCUAGUAGUCC
This 274-nucleotide ribosomal RNA is filed under the name uncultured bacterium. Its description in RNAcentral is "partial 16S ribosomal RNA". It matches the Rfam family "Bacterial small subunit ribosomal RNA", at positions 523 to 796 of the family's 1533-position model. The record is from RNAcentral.